RNAcentral lists this ribosomal RNA (240 nucleotides) under uncultured bacterium. RNAcentral describes it as "partial 16S ribosomal RNA". It matches the Rfam family "Bacterial small subunit ribosomal RNA", at positions 524 to 763 of the family's 1533-position model. The record is from RNAcentral.
UACGUAUGGAGCAAGCGUUAUCCGGAUUUACUGGGUGUAAAGGGAGCGUAGACGGCAUGGCAAGUCUGAUGUGAAAGCCCGGGGCUCAACCCCGGAACUGCAUUGGAAACUGUCGUGCUGGAGUGCAGGAGAGGUAAGCGGAAUUCCUAGUGUAGCGGUGAAAUGCGUAGAUAUUAGGAGGAACACCAGUGGCGAAGGCGGCUUACUGGACUGUAACUGACGUUGAGGCUCGAAAGCGUG